RNAcentral lists this ribosomal RNA (141 nucleotides) under Triticum aestivum (bread wheat). RNAcentral's name for it is "partial small subunit ribosomal RNA". Lineage: Eukaryota; Viridiplantae; Streptophyta; Magnoliopsida; Poales; Poaceae. The record is from RNAcentral.
AUGAACAAGAUGAAGAGCCACGGCAGCAAGCACCGGGGAGGAUCCGGAGGAGGAGGGCUGAGCAGGAUGCUGAGGGAGCACAAGGCCAGGCUCUACAUCAUCCGCCGAUGCGUCGUCGCGCUCCUCUGCUACCACGACUAG